This 380-nucleotide long non-coding RNA is filed under the name Vigna radiata. Its description in RNAcentral is "long non-coding RNA (VRAD_LNC016065)". The record is from RNAcentral. Lineage: Eukaryota; Viridiplantae; Streptophyta; Magnoliopsida; Fabales; Fabaceae.
AAAAGCGUCAAUUACCGGCGGCCUUUUACCGAAGGCCUUAGAGCCGUCGGUAAUGCAUUGGUGAUUUUAAUUACCGAAGGGCCUUAGGCCGUCGGUAAGGUCUUCAAAUUAUUUUUACCCAAAAUCCCACUCUGCAGUUCAUUCUCACCAGCCCUAGCUCGUCGAAUCCUUCCUCGUCCAAAACCCUUCGCUCCAAAACCCUUCCCCUUCGCUCCAAAACCGUUCCCCUUUGCUCCAAAACCGUUCCCCUUUGCUCCAAAACCCUUCAAAGCCCAAAUUCCAGAGGUGUUUCCGUCAGGGUGGUGGUCGUGCCAUCGAGGUUGGCAUUGAGGUGGAGGGAGCUAGUUCGUGGUCGUGGUCUGCAGCCUCUAUCGUCGUCU